This is a non-coding RNA of Acanthosepion pharaonis, 110 nucleotides long. The record is from the annotation of a GenBank genome assembly. Lineage: Eukaryota; Metazoa; Mollusca; Cephalopoda; Sepiida; Sepiidae.
CAGCCACAUCAGGUUGAAAUCCCAUUUCCCGUGCGAUCACCGAAGUUAAGCAGCGUCGAGCCUGGUCAGUACCUAGAUGGGUACCGCUUGGAUAUCUCAGGUGCUGCAAG